CGCCUGGGGAGUGCGGCCGCAAGGUUAAAACUCAAAUGAAUUGACGGGGGCCCGCACAAGCGGUGGAGCAUGUGGUUUAAUUCGAUGCAACGCGAAGAACCUUACCUACACUUGACAUGCAGAGAACUUUCUAGAGAUAGAUUGGUGCCUUCGGGAACUCUGACACAGGUGCUGCAUGGCUGUCGUCAGCUCGUGUCGUGAGAUGUUGGGUUAAGUCCCGCAACGAGCGCAACCCUUGUCCUUAGUUGCCAGCAUUAAGUUGGGCACUCUAAGGAGACUGCCGGUGACAAACCGGAGAAGUGGGGACGACGUCAAGUCAUCAUGGCCCUUACGUGUAGGGCUACACACGUGCUACAAUGGCAUUUACAGAGGGAAGCGAGACAGUGAUGUGGAGCGGACCCCUUAAAGAAUGUCGUAGUCCGGAUUGGAGUCUGCAACUCGACUCCAUGAAGUCGAAUCGCUAGUAAUC
Molecule: ribosomal RNA, 469 nt
Filed under: uncultured Alteromonas sp.
Lineage: Bacteria; Pseudomonadati; Pseudomonadota; Gammaproteobacteria; Alteromonadales; Alteromonadaceae
Description: bacterial SSU rRNA
Rfam family: Bacterial small subunit ribosomal RNA
Source: RNAcentral